AUGCACGCUGGCGGCGUGCCUAAUACAUGCAAGUCGCGCGAACAGAUAAGGAGCUUGCUCCUUUGACGUUAGCGGCGGACGGGUGAGUAACACGUGGGUAACCUACCUAUAAGACUGGGAUAACUUCGGGAAACCGGAGCUAAUACCGGAUAAUAUUUCGAACCGCAUGGUUCGAUAGUGAAAGAUGGUUUUGCUAUCACUUAUAGAAGGACCCGCGCCGUAUUAGCUAGUUGGUAAGGUAACGGCUUACCAAGGCGACGAUACGUAGCCGACCUGAGAGGGUGAUCGGCCACACUGGAACUGAGACACGGUCCAGACUCCUACGGGAGGCAGCAGUAGGGAAUCUUCCGCAAUGGGCGAAAGCCUGACGGAGCAACGCCGCGUGAGUGAUGAAGGUCUUCGGAUCGUAAAACUCUGUUAUUAGGGAAGAACAUACGUGUAAGUAACUGUGCACGUCUUGACGGUACCUAAUCAGAAAGCCACGGCUAACUACGUG
RNAcentral lists this ribosomal RNA (496 nucleotides) under uncultured bacterium. RNAcentral describes it as "partial 16S ribosomal RNA". It matches the Rfam family "Bacterial small subunit ribosomal RNA", at positions 29 to 507 of the family's 1533-position model. The record is from RNAcentral.